This 301-nucleotide ribosomal RNA is filed under the name uncultured bacterium. RNAcentral's name for it is "bacterial SSU rRNA". It matches the Rfam family "Bacterial small subunit ribosomal RNA", at positions 28 to 338 of the family's 1533-position model. The record is from RNAcentral.
GACGAACGCUGGCGGCGUGCCUAACACAUGCAAGUCGCACGGACCCGCAAGGGUCAGUGGCGAACGGGUGCGUAACACGUGAGGAACAUACCUAUCGGCGGGGGAUAGCCGGCCCAACGGCCGGGUAAUACCGCGUACGCUCUCUGGGAGGCAUCUCCUGGGGAGGAAAGCAGCAAUGCACCGAUAGAGUGCCUCGCGGCCUAUCAGCUAGUUGGUGAGGUAAUGGCUCACCAAGGCUACGACGGGUAGCUGGUCUGAGAGGAUGAUCAGCCACAUUGGGACUGAGACACGGCCCAGACCU